RNAcentral lists this ribosomal RNA (440 nucleotides) under uncultured bacterium. RNAcentral describes it as "partial 16S ribosomal RNA". It matches the Rfam family "Bacterial small subunit ribosomal RNA", at positions 338 to 795 of the family's 1533-position model. The record is from RNAcentral.
CCUACGGGUGGCAGCAGUGAGGAAUAUUGGUCAAUGGGGGAAACCCUGAAGCAGCAACGCCGCGUGGAGGAUGAAGGUUUUCGGAUUGUAAACUCCUUUUGUUAGAGAAGAUAAUGACGGUAUCUAACGAAUAAGCACCGGCUAACUCCGUGCCAGCAGCCGCGGUAAUACUGAGGGUGCAAGCGUUACUCGGAAUCACUGGGCGUAAAGAGCGCGUAGGCGGGAUAGCAAGUCAGAUGUGAAAUCCUAUGGCUUAACCAUAGAACUGCAUUUGAGACUGUUAUUCUAGAGUAUGGGAGAGGUAGGUGGAAUUCUUGGUGUAGGGGUAAAAUGCGUAGAGAUCAAGAGGAAUACUCAUUGCGAAGGCGACCUGCUAGAACAUAACUGACGCUGAUGCGCGAAAGCGUGGGGAGCAAACAGGAUUAGAUACCCCUGUAGUC